AUAUCUCUCCGUACGGGAAGGAUGAGAAGCUUCGACUAAGGUUCGAUUCGAGCGCAGCGAGAAAGCGUUGCCGCAGGCAACGACCCGAAGGGCG
Molecule: small RNA, 94 nt
Filed under: Salmonella enterica
Lineage: Bacteria; Pseudomonadati; Pseudomonadota; Gammaproteobacteria; Enterobacterales; Enterobacteriaceae
Also listed under: 2 other names
Description: partial RtT sRNA
Rfam family: RtT RNA
About the family: This family represents a bacterial cis-regulatory element known as RtT RNA.
Source: RNAcentral